GGGCUAAAGCUGAAUGCAGAUCUGCUGACCCUGAUCUACAGCUUGCGGAAGCUCUGCCUGUGUGCCCCCAUCUGCUGCUUCCUAGGGUUGGGGCCUGCUUCCUCAAAAGGAGAGUGGAUCUGUUCUCCUGCCAGCCCCCCACAGGGCCUUGUGGAGCCCUGGCCAUGUCCUCCCAAGAUCACAGGAUGGAAGCCAGCAGUCCAAUAGGCGUGCCACUCAAGCCAGCAGUGACCUGCAGCUUCUGCUUCCUGGAGAGUGGGGUGCCCACCCAAGAGAGCACAAGCACACCCCACACCCCUGACCUUGAGGGCACUGGGAGGUGGGGGCACUGUACUGGGACCAAGUCCCGGCAGCCUUGUGCGUGUGCCCUGGAAGGUAGCCUAGGAGUCCUGCGUGUGCCUCUCUGCACAGCAGGGAGGGG
Molecule: long non-coding RNA, 421 nt
Filed under: Homo sapiens (human)
Lineage: Eukaryota; Metazoa; Chordata; Mammalia; Primates; Hominidae
Description: non-protein coding lnc-KRTAP9-7-4:1
Source: RNAcentral